Molecule: long non-coding RNA, 417 nt
Filed under: Chloebia gouldiae (Gouldian finch)
Lineage: Eukaryota; Metazoa; Chordata; Aves; Passeriformes; Passeridae
Description: Erythrura gouldiae (Gouldian finch) lncRNA (ENSEGOG00005003346.1)
Source: RNAcentral
GUAAAACUUGCCAGAUGCUGCUGAUGAGGGCUGGUUUAUGAGGAUGCUUAUCAAUGGCCCGAGGAGAGAAAUAUGCAUGGCUGUAGCUUUUGAAGAUGAAACAAAAGGCUGAUACUAAAAAUUGAGUUUGUCCAGUAAACCUGUCUGUGGCCUGAAGGAAAGGGAGACUUAUUCCAGUGGUUGCUUAGUAAGUGAAUGGACAUUUAUGAAUCAAAUAAAUCAACACCACCCAUGGCAACCUGCCCCAGAAAUACCUGCUGAGGAGAGAUGGAUGAACACAGCAUGAGGAAAAAGUUAUCUGAGAAUGGCCUUAAUACCUUUUCCUGGCCUUCCUUCAUUGAACUUCCAAAGAGCAAAGGAAACAGAGGUUUCUCAGACCAGCCAGAGGAAGAAGGGUUGUCAUCAUUCUCCUUUUGC